AUUGAACGCUGGCGGUAGGCCUAACACAUGCAAGUCGAACGCGAAAGUCCUUCGGGAUGAGUAGAGUGGCGGACGGGUGAGUAAUGCAUCGGAACGUACCCAGUCGUGGGGGAUAACGUAGCGAAAGUUAACGCUAAUACCGCAUACGUCCUGAGGGAGAAAAGCGGGGGGACCGUAAAGGCCUCGCGCGAUUGGAGCGGCCGAUGUCGGAUUAGCUAGUUGGUAGGGUAAAGGCCUACCAAGGCGACGAUCCGUAGCGGGUCUGAGAGGAUGAUCCGCCACACUGGGACUGAGACACGGCCCAGACUCCUACGGAGGCAGCAGUGGGGAAUUUUGGGACAAUGGGCGAAAGCCUGAUCCAGCCAUGCCGCGUGAGUGAAGAAGGCC
RNAcentral lists this ribosomal RNA (387 nucleotides) under uncultured bacterium. Its description in RNAcentral is "bacterial SSU rRNA". It matches the Rfam family "Bacterial small subunit ribosomal RNA", at positions 29 to 416 of the family's 1533-position model. The record is from RNAcentral.